UUAUGGAAAAUUCAACAUUAAUAUUGUAAUAUUUAUUUAUAGAUAUUAUGAAAAUAGUGUGCAAUUUUUCCAUAUAAGGACAUUGUAAUCUGUUAAUGUAAUAAUUAUUUAUCAUAAGAUUCAAUAAUAAAAAGUUUAUUUAAAUUAGUUAUUUUCGAAUUUCUAACAUAGAAUAAAUUUAUUGAAUUUGAUAAAUCAUUGACAGAUUUAUUUAUAUAUAAUGCUUAAAUUCUUAAUUGAAUUUUACAAUAAUUUUUAAAUGUAUAUAUAUACAUUUAUUAAUUUUAUUGUAUGCAUUUAUAUGAUUAACAAUGCUAUAGAUUCAGGAUACCUUCGGGACCCGUCUUGAAACACGGACCAAGGAGUCUAACAUAUGUGCAAGUCAUUGGGUAUUUUUAAUAAAACCCAAUGGCAUAAUUAACUUAACUGUUUUUUAUGGGAUUAGUUUAUAUUUUAUUAUGAAAUAUUAAUUCAAUCCCAGGGCGUUCUAUAUAGUUAUGUAUAAUAAUAUUUAUAUUAUUUAUGCCUCUAACUAGAGCGUACCUUCAGCAUAUAUGC
Molecule: ribosomal RNA, 558 nt
Filed under: Merodon calcaratus
Lineage: Eukaryota; Metazoa; Arthropoda; Insecta; Diptera; Syrphidae
Description: partial large subunit ribosomal RNA
Source: RNAcentral